CGAUGCACACACGCCCAACCCACGCGCACACACACCCAUGUUGGAUCCCAUCUCUCUCGUCUUCCUCGAUCCCCUUUCUCCACCCCACGCCGCCGCCAGAUUUCGGUGAUCCCUGCCGUUCCCCACCGCACAACUCUCCUCCCCGAGGUCACCUCUCCCUGCUCUCCAUCUCCACUGGCCGGUUUCUCUCCUCGCCCAGGAGAGUCCCGCCUCCUCACCGCCAAGGCUGCCGCCGCCCGCCGCCUCGAGCGGCGCCGCCUCGAGCGGCGCCGCCUCCUCCUCGAGCGCCGCGCCACAGACCUCGCCUCCUGCGCCCUCGCCGCCCGCCGAGCUUCCAGCUCUCCCCGUCCCAAUCGCCUCCUUCCUAUGGAAACCAUGCCACCCAGCGCCACCAGGAUGCCACCGCACCACCACCGACCUUCCAGCUCUCCAUGUCCCAAUCCUGUCCUCCGGCCGGCUGCUCCUCCCUCUCGUCGGUCAAAGGUGACAUUUUUAGCAGCCGGGAUGCUCGAUUCAUGGGCGGCGGUGCUCGAUUCGUGGGUGGCAGUGCUCAAUCCGUGGGCAGCGGUGCUCAAUCCGUGCUGGAGCAGCGGGAGGAGGAGGCCAGGGUGGAGAUCAUGGUGCGGGAGCGGGAGAGACGGUGGCGGCGGCGGUGGGGCAGCUCCGUUCGUCCACGCUCCUCGUCAGCCUCCACGACAAGAGCUUCCUCUACAGGUAACUGAAUAAAUUCAGCUAUCUGAACUCGCUGGGAGCUGCCAGGCUAUGAACUCUACGGUGGAGGCCGAGCUCACCCAGCUCGAGACCAUACGGUGGCAGUAGGAGACUGAGCACCAUGUGGUGUGGGCGCCGAUUCAAAAUCACUAGCGAGUCCUACUUCAACUGCAAUGCAAUGUGCGAAAGAAAGAGAACUCGAGCCAAGGUGAUGGUGAUGGAAAUGAAUGAAAGAAAGAGAAGCUGAUGGAGUAGGAGGACGAGCAGCAGCAGCAAAUCAGCCUGAUGAUGACGGGGUGCGGAAGGCAAUGGUGAUCAUGCUGAUGGCAUGAAGAAGGCUAAUGACCACAACCUGGACCUUUUGGCAUUUAGAGAUGGCAAACACAGACGGCGUGGAGAUAACAACUUGGACCACCCACCUCCCUUGCCUUUUUAAUUUUGGUUGUAGUGGUUGCAUCACCGUCGCGGUCGCAAAUCAGUAUGUAGUGUGCUUGUGGAGUUGGGUCUGGACUGCAGUGUCCAUCCAGUAGGUUAGGUGUUGUUGCUGCUAGAUCCCAUGAUGCUCACCUAAGUUUUGUGUUAUGUGGAGGCCAACCUUUGUGAUCUUAUUUGUCGACACUUGUGUGAUCUCGUAUUACUUUGUGAUACAAGUUGUACGAUAUAUAUGUUUUUAUGGAUGAUCUUGUGAUGUUCUUUU
Long non-coding RNA from Triticum dicoccoides, 1408 nucleotides. RefSeq lists it as uncharacterized. Lineage: Eukaryota; Viridiplantae; Streptophyta; Magnoliopsida; Poales; Poaceae. The record is from RefSeq and is a predicted model, not a curated record. The transcript has 3 exons.